Molecule: small nuclear RNA, 21 nt
Filed under: Arabidopsis thaliana (thale cress)
Lineage: Eukaryota; Viridiplantae; Streptophyta; Magnoliopsida; Brassicales; Brassicaceae
Description: snRNA_06368
Source: RNAcentral
AAAAUUAAGUUAAACAAGUUU